CAGCAGCCGCGGUAAUACAGAGGGUGCAAGCGUUAAUCGGAAUUACUGGGCGUAAAGCGCGCGUAGGUGGUUUGUUAAGUUGGAUGUGAAAUCCCCGGGCUCAACCUGGGAACUGCAUUCAAAACUGACUGACUAGAGUAUGGUAGAGGGUGGUGGAAUUUCCUGUGUAGCGGUGAAAUGCGUGGAUAUAGGAAGGAACACCAGUGGCGAAGGCGACCACCUGGACUAAUACUGACACUGAGGUGCGAAAGCGUGGGGAGCAAACAGGAUUAGAUACCCCUGUAGUCCCUGUCUCUUAUAC
Molecule: ribosomal RNA, 301 nt
Filed under: uncultured bacterium
Lineage: Bacteria
Description: partial 16S ribosomal RNA
Rfam family: Bacterial small subunit ribosomal RNA
Source: RNAcentral